GACGAACGCUGGCGGCGUGCUUAACACAUGCAAGUCGAACGAAGAGCGAUGGAAGCUUGCUUCUAUCAAUCUUAGUGGCGAACGGGUGAGUAACGCGUAAUCAACCUGCCCUUCAGAGGGGGACAACAGUUGGAAACGACUGCUAAUACCGCAUACGAUCUAAACUCGGCAUCGAGGAUAGAUGAAAGGUGGCCUCUACAUGUAAGCUAUCACUGAAGGAGGGGAUUGCGUCUGAUUAGCUAGUUGGAGGGGUAACGGCCCACCGAGGCGAUGAUCAGUAGCCGGUCUGAGAGGAUGAACGGCCACAUUGGGACUGAGACACGGCCCAGACUCCUACGGGAGGCAGCAGUGGGGAAUCUUCCGCAAUGGACGAAAGUCUGACGGAGCAACGCCGCGUGAGUGAUGACGGCCUUCGGGUUGUAAAGCUCUGUUAAUCGGGACGAAAGGCCUUCUUGCGAAUAGUGAGAAGGAUUGACGGUACCGGAAUAGAAAGCCACGGCUAACUACGUG
RNAcentral lists this ribosomal RNA (510 nucleotides) under uncultured bacterium. Its description in RNAcentral is "partial 16S ribosomal RNA". It matches the Rfam family "Bacterial small subunit ribosomal RNA", at positions 28 to 507 of the family's 1533-position model. The record is from RNAcentral.